AAAGCUCUUGUGUGCAUAGACUAGCAUGAUGUUCUGGCUUCUCCUCCAGGUACUCUGUGUUGUGAGAGGGCCUAGGAAAUCCUGUCACGAAGCAGAACCUAGCUCUGUGAAGCACUAGACAUGAAGAUGGAUAUAUAAGAGCUUCACAUUUGCUGUGUUGCCAUCUCUUGGAAAAAGUGGGACUCGUCUGUGGAAAAGAACGUCUCUAAAUCAAGAGCAAUCAUCAUUUAGAAUGACAUUGUACCUCAGAUCAUGAUUUUGAAGCAAAAACUAAUGGGUGAAGUUUUGAUGAUAUUUUGUGCCAUGUUUGAACUGUCAUGACAGUUGCCUAUAGCUUCAAUCCUAGAAUCUGUGCCUGUGUUACCUUUGUCAUAUUUAAGUCUGCAAUAGCUUUCUCUUGAGAAAUACCCCAAGUUUAUUUGUUUAUGGGGAUAGAGCUCUGUUUUGCCUCUGUCUUCCUUUUGCAUUCAAGAAAAGAGAGUGUUCUCUUGUUUCCGUGUCUGUUUCUCUGCACAAUGUUCUGUGCAUGAGUUGCUUGAGAAGCUGGGGCUAAAACAGCUUUUUUAAAAGAAAUGGCAAUUGUUCAAGUGUUGCAAAUGUUCAAGCUAUAAUUUCUUUCAGUUUUGAAGAGUAAAGCUUUUAUAUUAAGUGAA
Molecule: non-coding RNA, 653 nt
Organism: Anas platyrhynchos (mallard)
Lineage: Eukaryota; Metazoa; Chordata; Aves; Anseriformes; Anatidae
Source: RefSeq, a predicted model, not a curated record